AGAAUUUAGCAGAGAUGCUUUAGUGCCUUCGGGAACUCUGAGACAGGUGCUGCAUAGCUGUCGUCAGCUCGUGUUGUGAAAUGUUGGGUUAAGUCCCGNAACGAGCGCAACCCUUAUCCUUUGUUGCCAGCACGUAAUGGUGGGAACUCAAAGGAGACUGCCGGUGAUAAACCGGAGGAAGGUGGGGAUGACGUCAAGUCAUCAUGGCCCUUACGAGUAGGGCUACACACGUGCUACAAUGGCGCAUACAAAGAGAAGCGACCUCGCGAGAGCAAGCGGACCUCAUAAAGUGCGUCGUAGUCCGGAUUGGAGUCUGCAACUCGACUCCAUGAAGUCGGAAUCGCUAGUAAUCGUAAAUCAGAAUGUUACGGUGAAUACGUUCCCGGGCCUUGUACACACCGCCCGUCACACCAUGGGAGUGGGUUGCAAAAGAAGUAGAUAGCUUAACCUUCGGGAGGGCGUUUACCACUUUGUGAUUCAUGACUGGGGUGAAGUCGUAACAAGGUAAGCGUAGUGCU
RNAcentral lists this ribosomal RNA (518 nucleotides) under uncultured bacterium. Its description in RNAcentral is "bacterial SSU rRNA". It matches the Rfam family "Bacterial small subunit ribosomal RNA", at positions 992 to 1509 of the family's 1533-position model. The record is from RNAcentral.